AGAGUUUGAUCCUGGCUCAGGACGAACGCUGACGGUGUGCUUUAGGCAUGCAAGUCGAACGAGAAAGCCCUUCGGGGUGAGUAAAGUGGCGAACGGGUGAGUAACACGUGGGCAACCUGCCCCUCGCAGGGGGACAACCGGAGGAAACUCCGGCUAAUACCCCGUACGCUUGUUGGAUCGCAUGGUCCGGCAAGGAAAGGUAGCUUCGGCCAUCCGGCGAGGGAUGGGCCCGCGUUGCAUUAGCUAGUUGGUGGGGUAACGGCCUACCAAGGCGACGAUGCGUAGCUGGUCUGAGAGGAUGAUCAGCCACACUGGGACUGAGACACGGCCCAGACUCCUACGGGAGGCAGCAGCCAGGAAUCUUGGGCAAUGGGCGAAAGCCUGACCCAGCAACACCGUGUGGGCGAUGAAGGCCUUAGGGUCGUAAAGCCCUGUUGAUAGGGACGAAGGGCGAAGGGUUAAUAGCCCCUAGCUUGACGGUACCUUUCGAGGAAGCCCCGGCUAACUACGUGCCAGCAGCCGCGGUAAUACGUAGGGGGCGAGCGUUGUCCGGAAUUAUUGGGCGUAAAGAGCGUGUAGGCGGUUCGGUAAGUCUGCUGUGAAACCCUGGGGCUCAACCCUGGGCGUGCAGCGAAUACUGCCGGGCUAGAGGGUGGUAGAGGCGAGUGGAAUUCCGAGUGUAGCGGUGAAAUGCGCAGAUAUUCGGAGGAACACCAGUAGCGAAGGCGGCUCGCUGGGCCACACCCGACGCUGAGACGCGAAAGCGUGGGGAGCGAACAGGAUUAGAUACCCUAGUAGUCC
RNAcentral lists this ribosomal RNA (801 nucleotides) under uncultured bacterium. RNAcentral's name for it is "bacterial SSU rRNA". It matches the Rfam family "Bacterial small subunit ribosomal RNA", at positions 8 to 796 of the family's 1533-position model. The record is from RNAcentral.